UACGUAGGGGUCGAGCGUUGUCCGGAAUUACUGGGCGUAAAGGGCGCGCAGGCGGAUAUUUAAGUCAGCUGUAAAAGGCACGAGCUCAACUCAUGUAUGCGGUUGAAACUGGGUAUCUAGAGUGCUGGAGAGGUAGGCGGAAUUCCCGGUGUAGCGGUGAAAUGCGUAGAUAUCGGGAAGAACACCAGUGGCGAAGGCGGCUUACUGGCCAGCAACUGACGCUGAGGCGCGAAAGCCAGGGGAGCGAACG
Molecule: ribosomal RNA, 250 nt
Filed under: uncultured prokaryote
Description: partial 16S ribosomal RNA
Rfam family: Bacterial small subunit ribosomal RNA
Source: RNAcentral